Molecule: long non-coding RNA, 1399 nt
Filed under: Apteryx haastii (Great spotted kiwi)
Lineage: Eukaryota; Metazoa; Chordata; Aves; Apterygiformes; Apterygidae
Description: lncRNA (ENSAHAG00000002375.1)
Source: RNAcentral
GGGGGGGAUUUGUAGCUGCUGUUGCUCUGCCUCCCUCUCCCACUGCUGCCUCUCCGUCCCCCAGGAUCUCCAUCACGCGGGUGACGGCCGACAUCUCCCUGGCCAAGCGCUCCGUCCUGAACAACCCCAGCAAACACACCAUCAUCGAGCGCUCCAGCACGCGCUCCAGCCUGGGUAAGGAGGCGCCGCGGCGGCUCCGUCGCGUCGGGCAGCCCGCGGCGYGCUCGCCCUGCCGCCUGGCCGAGCAGGCGGUGGCUCCCAAGCGCGCAUCUGUAUCAGCCGGGGACCCCGGCAGCCUGGCGUUCCCCGUUCCCCAUCCCGUCUCGUCCCGGGGUGCUGCUCCCACCCGCUCCGGGGCACGGCUUGUCCCCCCCCCCCCUUCAGCACGCCGGGGGACGAGAUGCUGGGGCACAGCCUGCAUCUCCGCUGCCGCGGGGCGACUAACGUGCGCGAACGCAGCGCGCGCGCGCGGGGUGCGAGGGGAGCCGGGGCCUUCCGCCCCCGCUGGCCGAUUUGACUCAGUCUCUCUCCCCCUCCUCCCCCCUUCAUCUUCUCUUUCGUUUUUCUUUCCCCUUUUUCUCCUUUCUUUUGGGUUUCCUCCCCUCUGCGCUGCUUACUUCCUCCCCUGCUCCUGAUACAGAUGUCUUGGGUAUGUAGCUUGGACCCGUCGGGACCCCCGCCAGCCCCCUGCCUGGCCGGAGGCGGUGGGGACGCAGCCCCUUGCAGCCCCCGCUGCCUGGCCGUGACCAGCCUUGGGGAUGCUCCUGUUGGAGCACCGCCGGGUCUGGCCACCCCACAGCCUGYGGGUUAGGGAGACCCCGGUCACGCAGCCUCACCCAACCUCCCACCCCACGCACAUGUGGUCCAGGGGUGGCUUAGCCCCCCCCCCCCCAUAACCCAGCCACCCCAUGGUCUGCAUAGGCACGGCACUAGUGCUGGGUGCCCGAAGCUGCCUCCGUCCAGGACCUGCAGUGCAAGGUCACCUGCAGCCCCACGUCCCUGGGGCUGGGGUGACCUUGAGGGUGGCCAAGGCCCAGUACGAGACCUUUCCUGGUCCUGUCAUCUGCCCCAUUUCCCUCACCAUGUCUCCCAGNNNNNNNNNNNNNNNNNNNNNNNNNNNNNNNNNNNNNNNNNNNNNNNNNNNNNNNNNNNUCCCUGGCCCCCAUCAUCGUCUACAUCAAAAUCACGUCCCCCAAGGUGCUCCAGCGGCUUGUGAAGUCCCGGGGCAAGUCCCAGGCGAAGCACCUCAACGUGCAGAUGGUGGCGUCGGACAAGCUGGCGCAGUGCCCGCCGGAGAUGUUUGACAUCAUCCUGGACGAGAACCAAUUGGAGGACGCCUGCGAGCACCUGGCGGAGUACCUGGAAGCCUAUUGGAAGGCCACGCACCCGCCCAGCAGCA